CCUACGGGGGGCAGCAGUGAGGAAUAUUGGUCAAUGGACGCAAGUCUGAACCAGCCAUGCCGCGUGCAGGAUGACGGCUCUAUGAGUUGUAAACUGCUUUUGUACGAGGGUAAACCCCGAUACGUGUAUCGGGUUGAAAGUAUCGUACGAAUAAGGAUCGGCUAACUCCGUGCCAGCAGCCGCGGUAAUACGGAGGAUCCGAGCGUUAUCCGGAUUUAUUGGGUUUAAAGGGUGCGUAGGCGGAUUGAUAAGUUAGAGGUGAAAUGUCCGAGCUUAACUCGGGAACUGCCUCUAAUACUUUUGAU
RNAcentral lists this ribosomal RNA (305 nucleotides) under uncultured bacterium. RNAcentral describes it as "bacterial SSU rRNA". It matches the Rfam family "Bacterial small subunit ribosomal RNA", at positions 338 to 640 of the family's 1533-position model. The record is from RNAcentral.